This 250-nucleotide unclassified non-coding RNA is filed under the name uncultured fungus. RNAcentral describes it as "sequence contains ITS2". Lineage: Eukaryota; Fungi. The record is from RNAcentral.
CCAACUGUGCCAAGCUUGUGUUUGGUGCGAGGUGGCCUGCGUGCGCGUGGCGUGCAGCGGGCUGAAAAGGAGCCAGUCAGGCUGGGCAGUCUGGCAGUGUGCUAGAGACCAAGGGGCAUGCGUGCGGGGACUGCGGAAUGUGGAGAGGUGCGGAUGGUGGACCAUCGUCUGCGCUGAUCUGCACUCUGUCCGCCGCGUUCGCAUGUCGCUGUCUUGUCGCUGCCAGCACCAACCAGCUCACACCACAUCU